Molecule: long non-coding RNA, 2424 nt
Organism: Felis catus (domestic cat)
Lineage: Eukaryota; Metazoa; Chordata; Mammalia; Carnivora; Felidae
Exons: 4
Source: RefSeq, a predicted model, not a curated record
UUCAGGUGUACAAUAUAGUGGUUCAACAAUCUAUCCAUACAUACAUCACACAGUGCUCAUCACUGACAAGUGCACUCCUUAAUCCCCAUCACCUAUUUUACCCAUUUCCCCCAUCCCUCCCCUCUCGUAACCUCAAUUUCUCUGGUAGUGACCAGGGAUGCUGCCAAUCAUUCAACCAUGCACCACACACCCACCCCCACAACAAAGAAUGCUAAUUUCUUGGUUUGGAUAAAUGUACCAUGCUUAUGUAAGAUGUUAGCGUUAGAGGAAACUUGGUAAAAGGUAUACAGGAACACUGUACUAUCUUUGCAACUCCUAUAUAUCUGAAAUUAUUUCAAAAUAUAUAAAUAAAGCUUAUACUUAAGGGCAACAUACAGCUUCAGAGUCAAACAAUCGAUAUUUUCAUAAUUUAUUUCUAUUACAGUGUACUAUGUACUAUAGCUGAAGUAUUGUUUUGAUUUUUUGCAAAUUACUUGAAUCAAUGAAAUUUAUAUUGCCAGUGAUACAUGUUGACAUUUUUGAGACUAAUAACAUACUUUCAAAUGUCUUCAAAGGGGUCUUUAAUCAUCUUACCUAAAAUACUUCCUCUGUUGAUCAAUCUUGUUUUUUCUUUCUUUGUUUUCCAGAGAAUUUGUUUUCUGUAAUAAUUUUGUUCAUUUGUUGAGUGUUGCCUUUUGGAAUAUAUGCUCCCUGAAGGCAGGGGCUUUCUUGUACCUCUAGGUCCAGAACUGUCACAUUAGAGAUGGAUACUUAAUAAAUAUUUGUUGAGUGAAUUAUCUGUAUCUGUGUUGCAUCUUCCUCUUAAGUGGUAUUCAAAGGAUGGGGCUUCUUUAAACCCACUGGGCUGUGAAGAUAGAAGUCCCAACCAUAGUAUUUAACUUAACCUUGAUGAAAGUAACUCCUCUUUCUUAAGUAUAAAGAUGUAUUUGUCUACAUAUUUAAACUUUUUCACAGCUAAAGACAAAUCCUUUCCUUUCUGCUGGGAAUGCUGGGUAAGGAGAUAAGGUAGAUAUCUUUGAUUUUAUACUUUCCUGUCAGAUCUUUCUGAUUUCUCCUAGAAAGCUUUUACUUCACCUGAUGAAAUGUUCUUCAAACCAACCGCCUUUCAUUUGAUAGGAUUUGGACCAUUUCCAGAACAAUUUAUAAGAGUUCCUGUCCAAUUAAAUUCUUAGGUAAAAUGUUCCCAUUUGAUUCAGAUUAUUUUCAAACAUAAAAUUUGUGAUAAGCAUCAAAGGUAGAAAUUGGCAAGCACAUGCCCAUCUCUCACAUGGUAGCACCUGAUAGAUUAUUGAGUUAUUUGUUGACCUCAGUGGUGGCACAAACGAAAAAAAUCAUCAAUCCCACCCAGGAAGUGUGGAAAGGAUGGGACCCUUAGUCUGUGUUUUAAAGAAAGAAAAACAGGAGCAGUGAGCCCUAAAUUGUAAAUGUUUCCACAAUAUUCCCCGUGUAAGAUACAGAUAGAAAAUUGAUUCACUUUGAUAAUAAGAUCUUAAAGUGUAUCUAACCUCCCCCUACUUAGAAAACUUGUUUUCUACAGAAAAUCGCAGUUUUUUCUUACCGUUGUGUAUGAAGAGGAUGUAAAACAAAUAAAUGAAAAUAAACCCCAGGUUAUUCCAAACCAAAGUAACCAUUUUGCAUCUUUCUCAAAUACUAAAUACUUGGUGAAUCUAGGUGCAUACAUAUAUUUAGGUACUGAGACAUAAAAAACUGUUGGUGAUUAUCAAUGUACCUACCUAUUGUAUUUUUCUUGUCCUAUAAUAUCUCCACAGAUUCUAUUAUUUGGUCAGAAUCAAGACUGAAAGCUGUUUCACAACAAAGUUUAGAAAUGAAAAUUCCAUGGAGAUGUUGAGAACACAAAGCUGUGGAGUCCUAUUGGUUUAAAUUAAUUAUGUUCUAUGCUCCUAUCAUAUCUACCUUUAACUGAUGGUUUACCGACAAUACCAGUUCAUCAGAGUGAAGGUGUACCACACAGUUGACCAUGUUUUAUGGUGGAAGGAAGCAUAGCUUACUUGGAAAAGUCCAUCUGAAGAAAGAGCUUGGUGAAGAAUCAUUUGCUCCUGAAAGUAUGAGGGAACUGAGCUGCAAGAGGAUAAAUAAGCUACCAUAGUCAUGAGAGGUCAGUCUGGCCUACAUGGAAUCUUCAUGGUCACAUGUGUCUAAAUGAACUAAUGUCUAUUGCUGAUAAAUGAUUCUGGUCAUCAGCUACAUGCUAUUUCUUUUCUAUCUUCCUAUUCAUUUUGUAGGACAAGGCUGAUUCUAAGGAUUGGGGUUUUGACACAGAAGAUAAAGAUUCAGACUCAUACCUUGCCAUUCUCUGAAAAUGAACUUGUUGCCUACAGAAAUAGUCUUAAUUUCUGAUCAUCACUAUCCCAACCUAUCCAUGGUCUAAAGCCUUGUCCCAUAUAAAGAUUCAUUUGGAGGGCC